UACGUAGGGUGCGAGCGUUAAUCGGAAUUACUGGGCGUAAAGCGCGCGCAGGCGGUUUUGUAAGCCAGGGGUGAAAUCCCCGGGCUCAACCUGGGAAUGGCAUUUGGGACUGCAAGGCUGGAGUGCGGCAGAGGAGACUGGAAUUCCUGGUGUAGCAGUGAAAUGCGUAGAUAUCAGGAGGAACACCGAUGGCGAAGGCAGGUCUCUGGGCUGACACUGACGCUCAUGCACGAAAGCGUGGGGAGCAAACAGG
RNAcentral lists this ribosomal RNA (253 nucleotides) under uncultured bacterium. Its description in RNAcentral is "partial 16S ribosomal RNA". It matches the Rfam family "Bacterial small subunit ribosomal RNA", at positions 524 to 776 of the family's 1533-position model. The record is from RNAcentral.